Molecule: long non-coding RNA, 1709 nt
Filed under: Jatropha curcas
Lineage: Eukaryota; Viridiplantae; Streptophyta; Magnoliopsida; Malpighiales; Euphorbiaceae
Description: long non-coding RNA (JCUR_LNC002242)
Source: RNAcentral
UGGAGCAAAAGCAACCAUUAAUGUAUGGGAACCAAAGAUACAACAAUCUAAUGAGUUCAGUUUAUCUCAGCUAUGGAUAUUAGGAGGUUCCUUUGGUGAAGAUCUCAAUAGCAUUGAAGCUGGCUGGCAGGUACUAUUAGUUAAUUUAAUUCUUUAAUUGAACUAAUAAUUGAAGUAAUUAAUAACAUCAAUAUCAUUUUUUAUGCCAUAUUCCUUAUUUUUAAUGCUUUCUGUAUGAUGAAACAGGUCAGUCCAGAUUUAUAUGGUGACAACAACACAAGGCUUUUCACCUAUUGGACUGUAAGCUUUCAACUUUUUUACAUACAAUCGCUUCAACAACACUAAUGAUUUUCUUUUUGUUAAUGGAUUUUUUAAAACAUUUGUUUUUUGAAAAUAUUACAGAGUGAUGCUUAUCAAGCCACAGGUUGCUAUAAUCUUCUAUGUUCAGGCUUUAUUCAGAUUAAUAGUGAGAUAGCCAUGGGAGCAAGCAUCUCUCCUGUCUCUGCUUUCCGCAAUUCCCAAUAUGAUAUUAGUAUUCUUGUCUGGAAGGUAAAUGCCAAAGAUCUUCACUUCACAUCACAUUCAAUGGUAAAAAAAUUUCAGUAGCAGCCAAAUGGAAAAAUAGAGCUAGCUGAUAGCUGAUACUGUUAAAGUUGUAUGUGAACUUUGAUGGGUUUUUGUCCUUUUCAUUAGACCUUGAAAUCUUUACAUGAUAAAGAAAAUUGCAUUCUUGGCCGUAUCAGCUAAAUGUAACUCUCAUGCUGUGUCAAGAAAUAUCAUUGUGUGUGGUUCAUAUGCUAAGAAGAAUCUUUAAGAUCAUCUUUAGACACUUGCAAAACUGGUUAAAACAGAAAAUGUAAAAUCAGUGAACUGGGAAUCCUAUCCUGUGAAAAAAAAAAAAAAAAAAAAGAAACAGAAAAAUUAGAAUAUAACUGUAGUUACAGUUUUUUGUACUGUCUUGCUCAAUAAUGGAGCUUUGUCUAGUUUUGCAUCCAAGUACUGUUACUUGUUAAUGUACCUUAAUUUCUUUGUUUCAUGUUUGGCAAUUCUUGUAGGAUCCUAAAGAAGGACAUUGGUGGAUGCAAUUUGGCAAUGACUAUGUGUUGGGAUAUUGGCCUUCUUUUCUGUUCUCAUACUUAGCAGACAGCGCUUCCAUGAUUGAAUGGGGAGGUGAGGUAGUGAAUUCAGAACCAGAUGGUCAGCACACCUCAACUCAGAUGGGAAGUGGACAUUUUCCUGAAGAAGGGUUUGGGAAAGCAAGUUAUUUUAGGAAUAUUCAAGUAGUUGAUGAUUCCAAUAAUCUAAAGGCACCAAAAGGAAUUGGAACCUUCACUGAACAAUCUAAUUGCUAUGAUGUUCAAACUGGUAGUAAUGGAGAUUGGGGUCAUUACUUUUAUUAUGGAGGCCCUGGUAAAAACUCCAAUUGCCCAUGAAGAAGAAGAAGAAGAAGAAAAAACCCAUUUUCACUUCUCACAUAUAUUAAUCUCUCUCUCUCUCCCUGUGUAUCAUUCAAACUAGUAAUGCCUCUCUCUCUCUCUCUCUCUCUCUCUUGUAUACCCUUUUUUUACUGUUAGGCUUGGGUUAGUGAUGUGACCUCUUUAGUUGGAAGUUUUGACUCUUUUUUUUUUUUUUUUACUAAAAGAUUCUCCAAUGUAAGUGGUUGGGAUGUGGCCAAGUUUCUCAAAGCUAAAGAAACAGGCUUUUGUUUA